UACGUAGGCAGCGAGCGUUGUUCGGAGUUACUGGGCGUAAAGGGUGUGUAGGCGGUUCUCUAAGGUUGGUGUGAAAUCUCCCGGCUCAACCGGGAGGGUGCGCCGAAAACUGGAGGGCUAGAGUGCGGGAAGGGAGAGUAGAAUUCCUGGUGUAGCGGUGAAAUGCGUAGAUAUCAGGAGGAAUACCGGUGGUGUAGACGGCUCUCUGGACCGCGACUGACGCUGAGACACGAAAGCGUGGGUAGCAAACAGG
Molecule: ribosomal RNA, 253 nt
Filed under: uncultured bacterium
Lineage: Bacteria
Description: partial 16S ribosomal RNA
Rfam family: Bacterial small subunit ribosomal RNA
Source: RNAcentral